UGGCCGCGGCGGGUUUUGCUGGCUGGGCUGCCCGUGGCUGGGCGGCCUGGGACAGGAAAUAGCACGUACUCUAGUUUGUCAUCUUCGCCGGCGGAAUCCGCAACUACAGUGUACUCUGGUUCGAAAGAGGAGGCGGGGCGGUGGGUGUGCCCUUGCUGAGUGGAUUGCACAACACCAAACCGACCUUCGCGAGAGCGCAGUGACAGUGCAGUAAAUACAAUUGCAAUCAGAGCAAAUGGCAAAUGGCAAAUGGCAAAUGGCAAAUGCAAUUCGGGGAUGGAUAAUUAAUUCCACACGGCCAAGAGUCACUAAAUUUUUAUAGGCA
RNAcentral lists this small RNA (325 nucleotides) under Histoplasma capsulatum var. duboisii H88. RNAcentral's name for it is "Histoplasma capsulatum H88 hypothetical RNA". Lineage: Eukaryota; Fungi; Ascomycota; Eurotiomycetes; Onygenales; Ajellomycetaceae. The record is from RNAcentral.